AUUCAAGUGUUCGCUGGCUGCCUCCUGCCCUGCCACAAGCAAAUGAAGCAGGCUGUUUGAUGUUUCUUUUUUGGAAGGAGAUGGGUCAUGAAUGGUACAGUGGGUGGUGUGGAUGCAGAAUUUAACUGUUCAUCAAGGGAGAUCAGAUUUCCAUUGUAAAGGGAAUUAGAUUGGCACCUAAUAAUGUCCCGGUUCCGGCUACACAGCACAAGAGGAAACAGACAGCAUCUGCAGGUUGCAGGGGGACCUGGACAAACCGCAGAAUCGGGCCGAGAGGCAGCAAAUGGAGCCCAACGCAGCCAAACGUGAGGUGAUAAGCAAGAACAUUCAAAAGCUGAUUGGAGGCAGGUGUUCGCAGGCAAAAAUGUAUCUGCUGAAAAUGGGAUUUCCCCCCACCCCCACAUUAUCCCAGUCCCAAGCCUCCAACUCAGCAACACCCUCCUGGACCUGUCCAUCACC
Long non-coding RNA from Chiloscyllium plagiosum (whitespotted bambooshark), 459 nucleotides. RefSeq lists it as uncharacterized. Lineage: Eukaryota; Metazoa; Chordata; Chondrichthyes; Orectolobiformes; Hemiscylliidae. The record is from RefSeq and is a predicted model, not a curated record.